AUCCGGCCGACAAGUCCCAAAUAAGACUAAACGUACGUACUGGAU
Molecule: non-coding RNA, 45 nt
Organism: Schistosoma rodhaini
Lineage: Eukaryota; Metazoa; Platyhelminthes; Trematoda; Strigeidida; Schistosomatidae
Source: Rfam